This 360-nucleotide ribosomal RNA is filed under the name uncultured bacterium. RNAcentral's name for it is "bacterial SSU rRNA". It matches the Rfam family "Bacterial small subunit ribosomal RNA", at positions 767 to 1114 of the family's 1533-position model. The record is from RNAcentral.
AGCUAAUAGAUACCCUGGUAGUCCACGCCCUAAACGAUGUCUACUAGUUGUUGGUGGAGUAAAAUCCAUGAGUAAACGCAGCUAACGCGUGAAGUAGACCGCCUGGGGAGUACGGUCGCAAGAUUAAAACUCAAAGGAAUUGACGGGGGCCCGGCCACAAGCGGUGGAUUAUGUGGAUUAAUUACGAUGCAACGCGAAAACCCUUAACCUUGGCCGUUCGACAUGCCACUAACGAAGCAGAGAUGCAUUAAGGUUGCCCGUAACGGGAAAAGGUAGGCACAGGUGCUGCAUGGCUGUCGUCAGCUCGUGUCGUGAGAUGUUGGGUUAAGUUCCCGCAACGAGCGCAACCCUUGCCAUUAA